Molecule: ribosomal RNA, 247 nt
Filed under: uncultured Gardnerella sp.
Lineage: Bacteria; Bacillati; Actinomycetota; Actinomycetes; Bifidobacteriales; Bifidobacteriaceae
Description: partial 16S ribosomal RNA
Rfam family: Bacterial small subunit ribosomal RNA
Source: RNAcentral
AGUAAUGCGUGACCAACCUGCCCCAUGCUCCAGAAUAGCCCUUGGAAACGGGUGGUAAUGCUGGAUGCUCCAACUUGAACGCAUGUCUUGUUGGGAAAGUGUUUAGUGGCAUGGGAUGGGGUCGCGUCCUAUCAGCUUGUAGGCGGGGUAAUGGCCCACCUAGGCUUCGACGGGUAGCCGGCCUGAGAGGGCGGACGGCCACAUUGGGACUGAGAUACGGCCCAGACUCCUACGGGAGGCAGCAGUU